This 485-nucleotide ribosomal RNA is filed under the name Escherichia coli. RNAcentral's name for it is "bacterial SSU rRNA". It matches the Rfam family "Bacterial small subunit ribosomal RNA", at positions 1050 to 1533 of the family's 1533-position model. The record is from RNAcentral. Lineage: Bacteria; Pseudomonadati; Pseudomonadota; Gammaproteobacteria; Enterobacterales; Enterobacteriaceae.
UGUCGUCAGCUCGUGUUGUGAAAUGUUGGGUUAAGUCCCGCAACGAGCGCAACCCUUAUCCUUUGUUGCCAGCGGUCCGGCCGGGAACUCAAAGGAGACUGCCAGUGAUAAACUGGAGGAAGGUGGGGAUGACGUCAAGUCAUCAUGGCCCUUACGACCAGGGCUACACACGUGCUACAAUGGCGCAUACAAAGAGAAGCGACCUCGCGAGAGCAAGCGGACCUCAUAAAGUGCGUCGUAGUCCGGAUUGGAGUCUGCAACUCGACUCCAUGAAGUCGGAAUCGCUAGUAAUCGUGGAUCAGAAUGCCACGGUGAAUACGUUCCCGGGCCUUGUACACACCGCCCGUCACACCAUGGGAGUGAGUUGCAAAAGAAGUAGGUAGCUUAACCUUCGGGAGGGCGCUUACCACUUUGUGAUUCAUGACUGGGGUGAAGUCGUAACAAGGUAACCGUAGGGGAACCUGCGGUUGGAUCACCUCCUUACC